Long non-coding RNA from Triticum aestivum (bread wheat), 1513 nucleotides. RefSeq lists it as uncharacterized. The record is from RefSeq and is a predicted model, not a curated record. The transcript has 2 exons. NCBI's taxonomy places the organism in Eukaryota, Viridiplantae, Streptophyta, Magnoliopsida, Poales, Poaceae.
CAAGUAAUGAUCCAGUCCUCUCCAUCUGUUCUUCUUCUAUUCUAAGUGAAAGGGUCGACCGCCGGACGACUCCCUGCCCCGCCAGGCGCCAGCCAGCCGGAGCUGGAAGCGCCUCCCCGGACUGCGGCCGUCGACCCCAGGCACAUCACCGUGCGGCUCCUCCUCCCCGGAUCUCCAAUGCACGCCAAACCCGCAGCAGAGCGCCGCCGCCGCCGCCGCCGGCCAGAUCCUCCUCCUAGCCACCGUCCCAGACCUGCAGCUGCCUCCCCCUGACCUGCACGUGCAUCUCGCCGGCAUCCUCCUCCAGCGGUAUGCAGCCAUCCCUCCUCUUUUCUGUGCCUUAUGGUUGCUUGGCUGCUUACGGUGGAAAUGCUUAUGGUGGAUUGCUGCGGGGUGUCGUCAUUGCUUAUGCUAGAAUUGCUGUGGGCUGUUGUCAUUGCUUAUGGUGGAAAUGCAAUUUGGAGGUUGGCGAUUAGUCUUGCAUGAUUCCAAACUCCAUGAUUGCUUACUACUAGUACUAGUAAUUAUGUAGUGUGAUGUGAUGGGCCCUUGUCUUGGUUGAUGGAUUGUAGAGUUGGAACACCUCUUCCAUGUUAAAAUUUGAUUUGGCAACAGCGCAAUGCUUUUUGUAAUUAUUAGCGUGAUAUGGUUGGUCCUUGUGUUGGUUCAACAAUUUUGUUUUUGUUUUUUGAUGUUGAAGGUUGAUUGUGCAGGGCUAUGCACAUUGCACAGUGUGUUGCUUGAUUGUUAUCCAAGAACUUUGCACUGCAGGCAACUUCAUGAGUUCUGUAACUGAAAUGGAACAGAUGAAGGAGGGCAAUCUGGGAUGCAUAUCACACGAAGAUCUUUUGCGAAAUACGCAAAGAUGAAACGGCUGCUGGCAAUAGCUAGUCUGGGUGCGUGCUGGAGUGCCGAAGGUUACAAGAACCCUGAGCCCAAAUUCUACAAUAGGGCUGGGACGAGGUAUGUGAAGAAGCGGUUCAAGCAUAGAUGGGACUCAUUAAAGCAGCAGUACAGAGGGUGGAUGGAACCCAAAUCUUUGACGGUUAUUGGGUCGGAUCCUGGAAGAGGAAUCACUGGGCCGAUGAUGGUUGGUGGAAGAAUCACAUUGCAAGAACCCCAGAGCAUGUGAAGUUCCACAUGGGCCACGGCCAACUUGACUUUGUUGCAUGCUCUGUUCAGGACAGCAAAUGUCACCAAUGAAUCAUCCAUUGUCCCUGGAGAGGACUUAGGAAGACAAUGGAGGAUGAUACUCCAACCAGUAUUACCAACGGGUCAGACGACGAUGUGCUUGCGGCAUUUGCUGAAGCAUCUUCUUGCAACAAGGCUCCUCCUGCCACGGUUCCGAGCCCGAAGGAAGACUUGAUUACAUGAUGACACCAGCAUGUGUGUGCAACUUUGCUCUAGAAAUUGAUUGUCAUAUCUUUGUUCUGGUCCUGAAUAUUUGAAUGAACGGGUGUUGUCAAGAAUCACGUGCACAUUUGUCCAAUGUCAUACAAAUGCAUUAAUUUAA